This 26-nucleotide non-coding RNA is filed under the name Rattus norvegicus (Norway rat). The record is from RNAcentral. Lineage: Eukaryota; Metazoa; Chordata; Mammalia; Rodentia; Muridae.
UGGAAGGAAAGACACAGCAGAACUUU